UGAGAGGGUGACCGGCCACAUUGGGACUGAGACACGGCCCAGACUCCUACGGGAGGCAGCAGUGGGGAAUAUUGCACAAUGGAGGAAACUUUGAUGCAGCGACGCCGCGUGAGUGAAGAAGUAAUUCGUUAUGUAAAGAUCUAUCAGCAGGGAAGAUAGGACGGUACCUGACUAAGAAGCUCCGGCUAAAUACGUGCCAGCAG
This 203-nucleotide ribosomal RNA is filed under the name uncultured Bacillota bacterium. RNAcentral's name for it is "uncultured Firmicutes bacterium partial 16S ribosomal RNA". It matches the Rfam family "Bacterial small subunit ribosomal RNA", at positions 293 to 514 of the family's 1533-position model. Lineage: Bacteria; Bacillati; Bacillota. The record is from RNAcentral.